GCGGUAAUUCAAGCUCCAAUAGCGUAUAUGUAAAUUGUUGCGGUUGAAAAGCUCGUAGUUGGACUUCUGGCGACCGCGUUCGGUCCGCCAAGCGCGUGCACUGUCCGCGGUCGUCGUUUCUGUCGACGUGGCGCGUCGGCCUUAGUUGGUCGGUGCGUCGUCUGUCGGCGAUGUUACUUUGAGGAAAUCAGAGUGCUCAAGGCAAGCGUUCGCUCGUGACUUCACUAGCAUGGAAUAACACAGAUGGGCUCUUUCUCGCACUGUUGGUCUGCGUCAAUUGAGCAACGAUCGAUAGAGACGGUCGGGGGCAUUCGUAUUGCGCAGUUAGAGGUGAAAUUCUCCGAUCUGCGCAAGACGCACUAAUGCGAAAGCAGUUGCCAAGGACGUCCUCUUAUGAUCAAGAGCGAAAGUCGGGGGAUCAAAGAUGAUUAGAUACCGUCGUAGUCCCGACCAUAAAUGAUGCCGACUGAGCUUCGGCGACUCGACCUCAGGUCGUACGUCGGCGCUCUUAGAGAAAUUAAAGUCUUUGGGCUCCGGGGGUAGUAUGGUCGCAAGUCUGAAACUUGAAGGAAUUGACGGAAGGGCACCACAAGGCGUGGAUGUUGCGGCUUAAUUUGACUCAACACGGGAAAGCUUACUAGGUUUGGACACCUUUGUGAUGGACAGAUUGAAGCUCUUACCCUACUGCGUGGAUGGUGGUGCAUGGUCGUUCUCAGCCCGUGGGUUGACCUGUCAGGUUUACUCCGGUAACGCGCGAGACCUCGGUCUGCUAAAUAGACGCGGCUGUUCCGGCACCCGCGCUCUUCUUAGAGAGAGACUCGACGAGAGUCGAGGGAAGUCGAGGCAAUAACAGAUCUGUGAUGCCCUUAGUUAUCCUAGGUCGCACGCGCCAUACAAUGUGGCGCACAACGAGUCUCCUUGGCCGACAGGAUCUGGGCAAUCUGGCAGAGCGCUACGUGACUGGGCUAGACUUUUGUAAUUUUUGGUCUUGAACGAGGAAUGCCUAGUAAUCGCAGGUCAGCAUCCUGCGAUGAUUCGGUCCCUGCCCUUUGUACACACCGCCCGUCGCUCCAUCCGUGGCAUGCGCCGGUGAAGAGGGGGAGGCAGCGUCGGCCGGGUAACACCGGAUCGUACGUGGAACCCCUCUGAACCUUCGCACGUAGAGGAAGGAGAAGUCGUAACAAGGUUUUCGUAGGUGAACCUGCGAAAGGAUCAUUAUCGGCACA
This 1226-nucleotide ribosomal RNA is filed under the name Halimeda minima. RNAcentral's name for it is "SSU rRNA". It matches the Rfam family "Eukaryotic small subunit ribosomal RNA", at positions 576 to 1831 of the family's 1831-position model. The record is from RNAcentral. Lineage: Eukaryota; Viridiplantae; Chlorophyta; Ulvophyceae; Bryopsidales; Halimedaceae.